RNAcentral lists this ribosomal RNA (204 nucleotides) under uncultured bacterium. RNAcentral describes it as "partial 16S ribosomal RNA". It matches the Rfam family "Bacterial small subunit ribosomal RNA", at positions 524 to 727 of the family's 1533-position model. The record is from RNAcentral.
UACGGGGGGGGCAAGCGUUGUUCGGAAUUACUGGGCGUAAAGGGCGCGUAGGCGUUUGCUAAGUUGGAUGUGAAAACUCUGGGCUUAACCCAGAGCCUGCAUCCAAAACUGGCAAACUUGAGUACUGGAGGGGAAAGCGGAAUUCCUGGUGUAGGCGGUGAAAUGCGUAGAUAUCAGGAGGAACACCGGUGGCGAAGGCGGCUU